AAGCACUUUAUACUGUGAAACUGCGAAUGGCUCAUUAAAUCAGUUAUCGUUUAUUUGAUAGUACCUUACUACAUGGAUACCUGUGGUAAUUCUAGAGCUAAUACAUGCUAAAAACCUCGACUUCGGAAGGGGUGUAUUUAUUAGAUAAAAAACCAAUGCCCUUCGGGGCUCCUUGGUGAUUCAUAAUAACUUAACGAAUCGCAUGGCCUUGCGCCGGCGAUGGUUCAUUCAAAUUUCUGCCCUAUCAACUUUCGAUGGUAGGAUAGUGGCCUACCAUGGUGGCAACGGGUAACGGGGAAUUAGGGUUCGAUUCCGGAGAGGGAGCCUGAGAAACGGCUACCACAUCCAAGGAAGGCAGCAGGCGCGCAAAUUACCCAAUCCCGACACGGGGAGGUAGUGACAAUAAAUACUGAUACGGGGCUCUUUUGGGUCUCGUAAUUGGAAUGAGUACAAUCUAAAUCCCUUAACGAGGAACAAUUGGAGGGCAAGUCUGGUGCCAGCAGCCGCGGUAAUUCCAGCUCCAAUAGCGUAUAUUAAAGUUGUUGCAGUUAAAAAGCUCGUAGUUGAACCUUGGGUCUGGCUGGCCGGUCCGCCUCACCGCGAGUACUGGUCCGGCUGGACCUUUCCUUCUGGGGAACCUCAUGGCCUUCACUGGCUGUGGGGGGAACCAGGACUUUUACUGUGAAAAAAUUAGAGUGUUCAAAGCAGGCCUUUGCUCGAAUACAUUAGCAUGGAAUAAUAGAAUAGGACGUGCGGUUCUAUUUUGUUGGUUUCUAGGACCGCCGUAAUGAUUAAUAGGGAUAGUCGGGGGCGUCAGUAUUCAGCUGUCAGAGGUGAAAUUCUUGGAUUUGCUGAAGACUAACUACUGCGAAAGCAUUCGCCAAGGAUGUUUUCAUUAAUCAGGGAACGAAAGUUAGGGGAUCGAAGACGAUCAGAUACCGUCGUAGUCUUAACCAUAAACUAUGCCGACUAGGGAUCGGGCGGUGUUUCUAUGAUGACCCGCUCGGCACCUUACGAGAAAUCAAAGUUUUUGGGUUCUGGGGGGAGUAUGGUCGCAAGGCUGAAACUUAAAGAAAUUGACGGAAGGGCACCACAAGGCGUGGAGCCUGCGGCUUAAUUUGACUCACACGGGAAACUCACCAGGUCCAGACAAAUAAGGAUGAC
RNAcentral lists this ribosomal RNA (1164 nucleotides) under Aspergillus flavus. RNAcentral's name for it is "SSU rRNA". It matches the Rfam family "Eukaryotic small subunit ribosomal RNA", at positions 67 to 1244 of the family's 1831-position model. The record is from RNAcentral. Lineage: Eukaryota; Fungi; Ascomycota; Eurotiomycetes; Eurotiales; Aspergillaceae.